RNAcentral lists this ribosomal RNA (616 nucleotides) under Trichoderma longibrachiatum. Its description in RNAcentral is "eukaryotic LSU rRNA". The stretch from base 227 to 380 matches the Rfam family "5.8S ribosomal RNA". The record is from RNAcentral. Lineage: Eukaryota; Fungi; Ascomycota; Sordariomycetes; Hypocreales; Hypocreaceae.
GGCCUCCGGACAGGCGCUCCAACCCCAAUGUGAACGUUACCAAUCUGUUGCCUCGGCGGGAUUCUCUUGCCCCGGGCGCGUCGCAGCCCCGGAUCCCAUGGCGCCCGCCGGAGGACCAACUCCAAACUCUUUUUUUCUCUCCGUCGCGGCUCCCGUCGCGGCUCUGUUUUAUUUUUGCUCUGAGCCUUUCUCGGCGACCCUAGCGGGCGUCUCGAAAAUGAAUCAAAACUUUCAACAACGGAUCUCUUGGUUCUGGCAUCGAUGAAGAACGCAGCGAAAUGCGAUAAGUAAUGUGAAUUGCAGAAUUCAGUGAAUCAUCGAAUCUUUGAACGCACAUUGCGCCCGCCAGUAUUCUGGCGGGCAUGCCUGUCCGAGCGUCAUUUCAACCCUCAAACCCCUCCGGGGGCGUCGGCGUGUCCUCCCCGAGCUUUCUCACCAAAGGAAGAAAAAAAUUUGGAUUUGGUCUUGUCCCCCGCGAGCUCUCGAUUUGGACUGGGACACCCACGCGCGGGGGCAAUCCCAUCCUCGGCGAGACAGGGAAAUGGUCACUGUAGGGCUUGGGAGUGGAAAACCUCACUCAGGAAACCUCCCCCCGUACUCGGCCGGGAGGAACCCU